GGAGAGAGUUUUUAUUCCUCGCAUCCCCGUUAUACCCUCUGAUCUCCCAUUUCAAUUCAAACGCCUCCAAUUUCCACUAAGGCUCUGCUUCGCAAUGACAAUUAAUAAGUCUCAGGGACAGACCCUACAAAAGGUUGCCAUUGAUUUGAGGCAAGAUUGCUUUUCUCCUGUACAACUAUACGUUGCAUUCUCAAUAGUAAGCUUGCACAGCUUGGUCAUAUUACAACCGGAGUGCUGAACUGACAACAUGGUAUACAAAGAGAACUAUAACAAUCGUAAUAAACGAACAAUAAAACAGCAGAGAACCCGUGGAUUAAAUAAAAAGGCAGCUUCCUUGGCGAA
This is a long non-coding RNA of Erpetoichthys calabaricus (reedfish), 342 nucleotides long. RefSeq lists it as uncharacterized. Lineage: Eukaryota; Metazoa; Chordata; Cladistia; Polypteriformes; Polypteridae. The record is from RefSeq and is a predicted model, not a curated record. The transcript has 2 exons.